GUAAAUUAAUGCAGUACGUCUGCCCACUCGGCGACCCUAUUUAAACCCUCGUUCUAGACCUUUAGGACAAGAAUUCUUCGCUAGCCUCAAAGUAUCAGGUCACAGCCCUAUAGCAAUAAAAAAGUGAAAAUGUUUUCUGACAUCCUGUGUCUGAUGUUCCUUAUCGUCAUCACAAUCAGCAUCAUCGCUGCUCAGCCCGCAGCACCAGGAGGCGCCGCCCCUCCCGCAGAAGACCCAUUCGCCUGGCUACGUCACUGGUACCUGUUCAGAUGGAUGGACUAACUGACGGCCGCCAACGUUACACACCCACACGAAUUUGACGACAGCUGAACAAGGUGAUGCGGACCUCGAGAUUAUUAUACCACGGUGGAAGCGUCGAUUCAUCUUUAGUUUAAUUUAUUCACUUUUCACUGGCCUAGCUAAUUUUUUGGUAUGUCUUAUCCAACAUGACUUUAAAACAUUCCCAAAAACUUAGGUCGACUAAAAACUUCGUAAUACCGAAGUUGUUAUAAUCAAAGUUUAUCUUUUGACCUGCAGUUAUUAAAGGUUUAGACCUAGGUUAACAGAAUUUUUAAUUUUGAUAAACAAUAACUGGUAACACACCAAACGCUUUACAUCAUCGAUUGUUGCAUUGAGAUCUACCAUAUUUAUCAUUGUAUAAAUAGUUAUUAUUUAUUUAUAUCAAACUGUGAAUAUAAUAAACAACCAAUGACUCGACAGCUUUCUGUGAACUGGAUAUUGUAGAAUAGAUAUUUGUACAUAGUUUGACUGGAUGAGUAGCUGAUAUUGUGUGCGUUUUUCUUCAAACCUUUUCUGAUAUUAAAAAGACAUUAAAAUAUAAUAAACUAUUACAGAACUGAA
Physella acuta is the source of this 861-nucleotide long non-coding RNA. RefSeq lists it as uncharacterized. NCBI's taxonomy places the organism in Eukaryota, Metazoa, Mollusca, Gastropoda, Physidae. The record is from RefSeq and is a predicted model, not a curated record.